Long non-coding RNA from Nematostella vectensis (starlet sea anemone), 596 nucleotides. RefSeq lists it as uncharacterized. The record is from RefSeq and is a predicted model, not a curated record. Lineage: Eukaryota; Metazoa; Cnidaria; Anthozoa; Actiniaria; Edwardsiidae. The transcript has 2 exons.
UACGGUUUUCUAGUUCGCCCACGAAAUCCCUCGCUAGUGAUCAGCCAUUUUUUAUCGUGAGUUGUGAUUGGCUGUUGUUCAUCGUAGGCUAUGAUUGGCUAGUUCUAGGUAUAUAUGGGAGAUAGGGCAAUGUCCUUUACACUACACUUCUGCAUACCGAAACCAUGGCAUCGCUCAAGACUUUCACAGCACUCUGCAUCUCUGUCCUUAUCGUUGCUAUUCUAAUUUCUUCUGCAAGAGCGAGUAAGAACCCGGUCCCAGGGAUUCCUUUUGGAAAACGCAGUUAUCUGAAUUCUAGGAUUAAGGCAAUACAAGGCAGAGGUUUGAUUUGCGAGGCUGCUACUCUAAUGGGAUGCGGACAGGAGUCCGACGGACAAAGACCGGUUUCCAACUUCCGAUUGACCAGGCCUCAACAAGACGCGUACUGAUAUAGAAGUGUCCCGGAUGCGAAAUGACGAAAUGACGGAAGUAUGGACGGAGAAUUGUCCAAGAAAAGAACUCGCUAUAAAAUGUACAAAUUUAGAUUAAAAUAAUACUCAAAUGUAGUGUACUUUACUAGAUGUUUACAUAGCUAAUUAAAGUGAGUUUCAUGAAAA